This 463-nucleotide ribosomal RNA is filed under the name uncultured bacterium. RNAcentral's name for it is "partial 16S ribosomal RNA". It matches the Rfam family "Bacterial small subunit ribosomal RNA", at positions 28 to 507 of the family's 1533-position model. The record is from RNAcentral.
GACGAACGCUGGCGGCGUGCUUAACACAUGCAAGUCGAACGGAAAGGCCUUUUCGGAGGUACUUGAGUGGCGAACGGGUGAGUAACACGUGGGUGAUCUGCCCUGCACUCUGGGAUAAGCCUGGGAAACUGGGUCUAAUACCGGAUAGGACCGCACUUUAGUGUGUGUGGUGGAAAGUUUUUUCGGUGUAGGAUGAGCCCGCGGCCUAUCAGCUUGUUGGUGGGGUAAUGGCCUACCAAGGCGGCGACGGGUAGCCGGACUGAGAGGUUGGUCGGCCACAUUGGGACUGAGAUACGGCCCAGACUCCUACGGGAGGCAGCAGUGGGGAAUAUUGCACAAUGGGCGCAAGCCUGAUGCAGCGACGCCGCGUGGGGGAUGACGGCCUUCGGGUUGUAAACUCCUUUCGCCAGGGACGAAGCGUUUUGUGACGGUACCUGGAGAAGAAGCACCGGCUAACUACGUG